UUUUAUUCAAGUCGAACAAAAGUGACGUGCAAACUAAAUAGAUACAGCAGUGUGUUAAUAUCCUAGUCGCAAGAAACAAUUUGGAAAGCCAAAGUGACUUUUCGGAUUAAGAAAAUAUGAGGAAAUAAUUUUAAGAUGAGCACGUCGGGACCCUAAUCAAAUGUGGACUUACUCAAGCGUGGACAUCCCGAGGAGCAGAGUUAGUCGUGCGGAGAGAAUAAGGAUAUAUAUUUCGGAGUGCAUCGUCUGUUUUUGCGUUUUAUUCUUUAUCGUUUGCGUGGGCUUGCUUCUCUAUUUGUUCUUCCAUUUAUACACCACUGUGACUAGCGCUCGUAAAGUUGUUGAGACUUUGAUUGAGAGUUGAUACUUAGUAUUGUUCAUAUUGCUUAAUCGCUUUAUGCCUAAUGGUAGUUCUGCGAUAAAUUCAGCUAUGAUAACAAUCUGGAAACUGGUCUCGUAUUUUAAAAAUAUAAAAAGAUAAGUUCUUAACGUUUCGGAGGAGUUUUGCAUUUUGGAGAUUUUUUCAAUGUUUUUGUUGGUUUUUAUUAUUUAGGGGCUUUUAUAGUUAUGUAAAUGUCAGCCCCAUCAUAAUCGUAACAAUUUAUUGGUCUGAAGUAUCUAAAUUAACAAAAUAACGCAAACAAUUCCUUUAAAUUAAAAACGAAUAUGAUUUUGCUUAAUAUUUAAUUAAGUAAAAUAUCAUCAUAGAAAUAAAAAUAUAUAAACAUAAGCACCUAAUAAAAACAAAUUGUUCAGUAUUUAUAUUUAGGUACAUAACUGUUGAAUAGAAACAAAAUGGCACUUGUUGUACAUACCUAGGCAAUAGAAGAUAGGUAGCCUGUAAUUUCACUAGUCCGUAGUUUAUAGAUUGUCUUUUUAGAAUUAAUAUUCAAUGCCAUAUUACUAAGAAUGUACGCACUUUUAGGUGAUAAGAGUAAAAAGAAUUUAAUAUAACAUGUUACCUAUGUAAAUGAAAACUCUUCGAAUGAUAAAAAAAUUAGUUUAUGGAAUAUAGCUCUAUUGAAUUAUUUUAUUUAUGUCUACUGUUAAGUAGGUACUUUUUCUUUUAUUUAUCCACGUUUUACCAUAAUCAUACCUACGAAAUAUGUACGAAAUAAAUGCGACAAAGUGUCUGUCUA
Molecule: long non-coding RNA, 1139 nt
Organism: Maniola jurtina (meadow brown)
Lineage: Eukaryota; Metazoa; Arthropoda; Insecta; Lepidoptera; Nymphalidae
Exons: 2
Source: RefSeq, a predicted model, not a curated record